Molecule: transfer RNA, 82 nt
Filed under: Echinostoma caproni
Lineage: Eukaryota; Metazoa; Platyhelminthes; Trematoda; Plagiorchiida; Echinostomatidae
Rfam family: tRNA
About the family: Transfer RNA (tRNA) molecules are approximately 80 nucleotides in length. Their secondary structure includes four short double-helical elements and three loops (D, anti-codon, and T loops).
Source: Rfam by way of RNAcentral
GGCCUCGUAGCUCAGCUGGUGGAGCAUGCGCGUACAAAGCGUAGGCGGCGUCCAUACGUGAGUUCGAAUCCCACCGAGGCUA